CGCUGGCGGCGUGCCUAAUACAUGCAAGUCGAACGCACUCUCGUUUAGAUUGAAGGAGCUUGCUCCUGAUUGAUAAACAUUUGAGUGAGUGGCGGACGGGUGAGUAACACGUGGGUAACCUGCCCUAAAGUGGGGGAUAACAUUUGGAAACAGAUGCUAAUACCGCAUAAAACCUAACACCGCAUGGUGUAGGGUUGAAAGAUGGUUUCGGCUAUCACUUUAGGAUGGACCCGCGGUGCAUUAGUUAGUUGGUGAGGUAAAGGCUCACCAAGACCGUGAUGCAUAGCCGACCUGAGAGGGUAAUCGGCCACACUGGGACUGAGACACGGCCCAGACUCCUACGGGAGGCAGCAGUAGGGAAUCUUCCACAAUGGACGAAAGUCUGAUGGAGCAACGCCGCGUGAGUGAAGAAGGUUUUCGGAUCGUAAACUCUGUUGUUGGAGAAGAAUGUAUCUGAUAGUAACUGAUCAGGUAGUGACGGUAUCCAACCAGAAAGCCACGGCUAACUACGUG
Molecule: ribosomal RNA, 513 nt
Filed under: uncultured bacterium
Lineage: Bacteria
Description: bacterial SSU rRNA
Rfam family: Bacterial small subunit ribosomal RNA
Source: RNAcentral